This 186-nucleotide ribosomal RNA is filed under the name uncultured bacterium. Its description in RNAcentral is "partial 16S ribosomal RNA". It matches the Rfam family "Bacterial small subunit ribosomal RNA", at positions 1315 to 1500 of the family's 1533-position model. The record is from RNAcentral.
CCUGUAUGAAGUCGGAAUUGCUAGUAAUCGCAGAUCAGCAUGCUGCGGUGAAUACGUUCCCGGGCCUUGUACACACCGCCCGUCACACCAUGAGAGUUGGCAACACCCGAAGUCGGUAGUCUAACCGCAAGGAGGACGCCGCCGAAGGUGGGGUUGACGAUUGGGGUGAAGUCGUAACAAGGUAGC